Molecule: ribosomal RNA, 398 nt
Filed under: Rhodococcus sp. CA28
Lineage: Bacteria; Bacillati; Actinomycetota; Actinomycetes; Mycobacteriales; Nocardiaceae
Description: bacterial SSU rRNA
Rfam family: Bacterial small subunit ribosomal RNA
Source: RNAcentral
AACGCGAAGAAACUUACCUGGGUUUGACAUAUACCGGAAAGCCGUAGAGAUACGGCCCCCCUUGUGGUCGGUAUACAGGUGGUGCAUGGCUGUCGUCAGCUCGUGUCGUGAGAUGUUGGGUUAAGUCCCGCAACGAGCGCAACCCUUGUCCUGUGUUGCCAGCGCGUAAUGGCGGGGACUCGCAGGAGACUGCCGGGGUCAACUCGGAGGAAGGUGGGGACGACGUCAAGUCAUCAUGCCCCUUAUGUCCAGGGCUUCACACAUGCUACAAUGGCCGGUACAGAGGGCUGCGAUACCGUGAGGUGGAGCGAAUCCCUUAAAGCCGGUCUCAGUUCGGAUCGGGGUCUGCAACUCGACCCCGUGAAGUCGGAGUCGCUAGUAAUCGCAGAUCAGCAACG